This 285-nucleotide unclassified non-coding RNA is filed under the name plant metagenome. RNAcentral's name for it is "partial contains small subunit ribosomal RNA, internal transcribed spacer 1, and 5.8S ribosomal RNA". The stretch from base 1 to 54 matches the Rfam family "Eukaryotic small subunit ribosomal RNA", at positions 1778 to 1831 of the family's 1831-position model. The record is from RNAcentral.
GGAAGUAAAAGUUGUAACAAGGUUUCCGUAGGUGAACCUGCGGAAGGAUCAUUAUUGUAUAACCGAGGUGCGAGGGCUGUCGCUGACCCGAAAGGUCGUGCACGCCCGAGUGCCCUCACACACAUCCAUCUCACCCCUAUGUGCACCACCGCGUGGGUCCCCCUUUGGCUUGUUCGGAGGGGGGCUUACGUUUUCACACAAUCUUUGUAUGCAGUGUAGAAUGUAUUUUUUGUUUUUGCGAUCACGCAAUCAAUACAACUUUCAACAACGGAUCUCUUGGCUCUC